RNAcentral lists this ribosomal RNA (1015 nucleotides) under Aeromonas veronii. RNAcentral's name for it is "partial 23S ribosomal RNA". It matches the Rfam family "Bacterial large subunit ribosomal RNA", at positions 120 to 1189 of the family's 2925-position model. The record is from RNAcentral. Lineage: Bacteria; Pseudomonadati; Pseudomonadota; Gammaproteobacteria; Aeromonadales; Aeromonadaceae.
GGGGAAACCCACCCGAGAUAACUCGGGUAUCUGUUACUGAAUACAUAGGUAACAGAGGCGAACCGGGAGAACUGAAACAUCUAAGUACCCCGAGGAAAAGAAAUCAACCGAGAUUCCCUCAGUAGCGGCGAGCGAACGGGGAUUAGCCCUUAAGCAUCUUGGAAGUUAGUGGAACGGUCCUGGAAAGGCCGGCGAUACAGGGUGAUAGCCCCGUACACGAAAACAACCUUGAUGUGAAAUCGAGUAGGGCGGGACACGUGACAUCCUGUCUGAAUAUGGGGGGACCAUCCUCCAAGGCUAAAUACUCCUGACUGACCGAUAGUGAACCAGUACCGUGAGGGAAAGGCGAAAAGAACCCCUGUGAGGGGAGUGAAAUAGAACCUGAAACCGUGUACGUACAAGCAGUGGGAGCCCUUCGGGGUGACUGCGUACCUUUUGUAUAAUGGGUCAGCGACUUACAUUUUGUAGCGAGGUUAACCGUAUAGGGGAGCCGUAGGGAAACCGAGUCUUAACUGGGCGUCUAGUUGCAAGGUGUAGACCCGAAACCGGGUGAUCUAGCCAUGGGCAGGUUGAAGGUUGAGUAACAUCAACUGGAGGACCGAACCCACUAACGUUGCAAAGUUAGGGGAUGACCUGUGGCUGGGGGUGAAAGGCCAAUCAAACUCGGAGAUAGCUGGUUCUCCCCGAAAGCUAUUUAGGUAGCGCCUCGGACGAAUACUACUGGGGGUAGAGCACUGUUUGGGCUAGGGGGUCAUCCCGACUUACCAACCCCAUGCAAACUCCGAAUACCAGUAAGUAAUAUCCGGGAGACACACGGCGGGUGCUAACGUCCGUCGUGAAGAGGGAAACAACCCAGACCGCCGGCUAAGGUCCCAAAGUUCUGGUUAAGUGGGAAACGAUGUGGGAAGGCUCAGACAGCUAGGAUGUUGGCUUAGAAGCAGCCAUCAUUUAAAGAAAGCGUAAUAGCUCACUAGUCGAGUCGGCCUGCGCGGAAGAUGUAACGGGGCUCAAACCA